RNAcentral lists this ribosomal RNA (410 nucleotides) under uncultured Methylomirabilota bacterium. RNAcentral describes it as "bacterial SSU rRNA". It matches the Rfam family "Bacterial small subunit ribosomal RNA", at positions 1025 to 1434 of the family's 1533-position model. The record is from RNAcentral. Lineage: Bacteria; Methylomirabilota (SeqCode).
AGCGUGGAGACAGGUGGUGCAUGGCUGUCGUCAGCUCGUGUCGUGAGAUGUUGGGUUAAGUCCCGCAACGAGCGCAACCCUCACCUCUUGUUGCCAUCAGGUCAUGCUGGGCACUCUAGAGGAACUACCCCGGUCAACGGGGAGGAAGGCGGGGAUGACGUCAAGUCAUCAUGCCCCUUACGUCCUGGGCUACACACGUGCUACAAUGGCCGGUACAAAGGGAUGCCACACCGCGAGGUAGAGCUAAACCCAAAAAGCCGGUCUAAGUUCAGAUUGGAGUCUGCAACUCGACUCCAUGAAGGAGGAAUCGCUAGUAAUCGCGUAUCAGCACGACGCGGUGAAUACGUUCCCGGGCCUUGUACACACCGCCCGUCACACCACGAAAGCCUGCUGUACUCGAAGUCGCUGAG